Silurus meridionalis is the source of this 896-nucleotide long non-coding RNA. RefSeq lists it as uncharacterized. The transcript is spliced from 2 exons. The record is from RefSeq and is a predicted model, not a curated record. Lineage: Eukaryota; Metazoa; Chordata; Actinopteri; Siluriformes; Siluridae.
UUAUUAUAUAUUAUAUUUACAUUUGCGACAUUUAGCAGACGCCCUUAUCCAGAGCGACGUACAAAUGUGCUUUUUUAUAUAUAUUAUAUAUUUUAUUUACAGCAUUUCUUCACACCUGCCUAAAACAUUUGCACUAUAUUCAUUUUCUAACGCUCACUUUUUUAACCUGCGCAGUAAAGAACUUGUUACAGUACAAUGACAUCCCAACCUGUUAGGAUUCAGGGUCAGAGUGCUGAGAGCGCUAUGAGACAGCGCCCCCUGGAGAAAAUUAAGGGCCUCACAACACUGGCAGCUUUACAGUAGACGUUCCCAACCACUGGGUCGUGACCAGAUACCAUCUGGAGGAACAGUAUGUUCCCAUGGCCCAUGGAUGUGAUUAUUGGAUGUGACAUUGUUUUUAUUUUAUUGAUUUUUUUAUUGUUCUAUUUAGCUACCUAAAAAUGUACAUACGGUACACAUCCCAUCACCCAGUGGCGACGAUAUUUACAACGUGGACCUGGUGUGUGGUGUACAGGAGCUUAAAGAGACCUGAAUUCCAGUGUUCUGGUUCUUUCACAUUUCAGCUCAUUAUACAAGCUACUGCAACCACUGAAUAGAGAAUCAUUUGCAUUACAUAACCACAGAGUUGUGCUCUCUAUGUGUGUGUGUGUGUGUGUGUGUGUGUGUGUGUGUGUGUGUGUCUGUGUGUGUGUGUGUGUGUGUGUGUGUGUGUGUGUGUGUGUGUGUGUGUGUGUGUGUGUGUGUGUGUGUUGCGCUUUACCUUGCUGUUGUAUUACUUGUCUUUUUUGGCCUGAAUAAAAGACUUAAUCUGUGUUGGGGUUGUGGGUGGAGCUUACAGGAUGUGGGCGGGGUCCUAUACGGAGCGUCUGUCAAUAAAUGUUUCUAUUGGAUCUAAA